Molecule: non-coding RNA, 70 nt
Filed under: unclassified sequences
Description: S4-Fusobacteriales ribosomal protein leader
Rfam family: S4-Fusobacteriales ribosomal protein leader
Source: RNAcentral
UUGUAAAGAUAUGUUUAGCUGUAGGGCUUGUUCUUAUCAAUAAAAUUAUGUGGUAAGGCAUAUUGAUGAA